UAACUUUAAAAAGUUUAACUUUAUUUAGACAGAAAACUUGGAUAAAGUUUUGCAGAGGAAGCAGAGCCAAAUAAGAGCGAAUUUCACUUCACCAAGUCAGAGAAGGAAAGCCCCAUGGCCAGAAGAUUCAAGACCAAAGACCAAUAUGGAGAGAUGAUGAUCAGCAGGAAACAGCAGUCAAGAGCCGAGGGAACAUGAAGCAGUCUUCCUCACUACAGAGAUGACCUGUCAAGGAUCCAGUGCUCCAGUCCAUUCAUCAACACACAUCCCCUGAAUGGAGGAUGGAGCCUGCAUCGUCAUAACAUCAUCUUCCUUAUGUGGCAACAGACAUCAUAUAUUUAUAUGUAAAACAGCGCACAACUGAAUCAGUG
This 371-nucleotide long non-coding RNA is filed under the name Heterocephalus glaber (naked mole-rat). Its description in RNAcentral is "lncRNA (ENSHGLG00100045750.1)". The record is from RNAcentral. Lineage: Eukaryota; Metazoa; Chordata; Mammalia; Rodentia; Bathyergidae.